Molecule: ribosomal RNA, 252 nt
Filed under: uncultured bacterium
Lineage: Bacteria
Description: partial 16S ribosomal RNA
Rfam family: Bacterial small subunit ribosomal RNA
Source: RNAcentral
ACGUAGGUGACCAGCGUUGUCCGGAUUUACUGGGCGUAAAGAGCGCGCAGGCGGUCGUUCAAGUCGAGUGUGAAAGCCCCCGGCUCAACUGGGGAGGGUCACUCGAUACUGAUCGACUCGAAGGCAGGAGAGGGUAGUGGAAUUCCCGGUGUAGUGGUGAAAUGCGUAGAUAUCGGGAGGAACACCAGUGGCGAAGGCGACUACCUGGCCUGUUCUUGACGCUGAGGCGCGAAAGCUAGGGGAGCAAACGGG